This 465-nucleotide ribosomal RNA is filed under the name uncultured bacterium. RNAcentral describes it as "bacterial SSU rRNA". It matches the Rfam family "Bacterial small subunit ribosomal RNA", at positions 338 to 795 of the family's 1533-position model. The record is from RNAcentral.
CCUACGGGAGGCACCAGUGGGGAAUAUUGCACAAUGGGCGCAAGCCUGAUGCAGCCAUGCCGCGUGUAUGAAGAAGGCCUUAGGGUUGUAAAGCACUUUCAGUUGGGAGGAAGGCGUUGAUGCUAAUAUCACCAACGAUUGACGUUACCAACAGAAGAAGCACCGGCUGACUCCGCGCCAGCAGCCGCGGUACUACGGAGGGUGCAAGCGUUAAUCGGAAUUACUGGGCGUAAAGCGCACGCAGGCGGUUGAUUAAGUUAGAUGUGAAAUCCCCGGGCUUAACCUGGGAAUGGCAUCUAAGACUGGUCAGCUAGAGUCUUGUAGAGGGGGGUAGAAUUCCAUGUGUAGCGGUGAAAUGCGUAGAGAUGUGGAGGAAUACCGGUGGCGAAGGCGGCCCCCCGGACAAAGACUGACGCUCAGGUGCGAAAGCGUGGGGAGCAAACAGGAUUAGAUACCCCUGUAGUC